CAGGAGAGAAAUAUGCACAGAUCAAGCAACGUUUACAAAUCCACAACAGUUAUAAACAAAUGCAUUGGUGGAUUUUGACGUGAGAGGACAACAGGGGAUGGGUUUUUUCACUGGCGGAAGCGUUAUUAUGGACUCAUAUUUUUGAU
Molecule: long non-coding RNA, 146 nt
Organism: Sinocyclocheilus rhinocerous
Lineage: Eukaryota; Metazoa; Chordata; Actinopteri; Cypriniformes; Cyprinidae
Exons: 3
Source: RefSeq, a predicted model, not a curated record